Molecule: ribosomal RNA, 842 nt
Filed under: bacterium 071021-ONK-SLIME-CHAB1
Lineage: Bacteria
Description: bacterial SSU rRNA
Rfam family: Bacterial small subunit ribosomal RNA
Source: RNAcentral
UGUCGGCAUGCUUUACACAUGCAAGUCGAACGGUAACAGGCCGCAAGGUGCUGACGAGUGGCGAACGGGUGAGUAAUGCAUCGGAACGUGCCCAGUCGUGGGGGAUAACGCAGCGAAAGCUGUGCUAAUACCGCAUACGAUCUAUGGAUGAAAGCGGGGGACCGUAAGGCCUCGCGCGAUUGGAGCGGCCGAUGUCAGAUUAGGUAGUUGGUGGGGUAAAGGCCCACCAAGCCAACGAUCUGUAGCUGGUCUGAGAGGACGACCAGCCACACUGGAACUGAGACACGGUCCAGACUCCUACGGGAGGCAGCAGUGGGGAAUUUUGGACAAUGGGCGCAAGCCUGAUCCAGCAAUGCCGCGUGCAGGAAGAAGGCCUUCGGGUUGUAAACUGCUUUUGUACGGAACGAAACGGUCUGGGUUAAUACCCUGGGCUAAUGACGGUACCGUAAGAAUAAGCACCGGCUAACUACGUGCCAGCAGCCGCGGUAAUACGUAGGGUGCAAGCGUUAAUCGGAAUUACUGGGCGUAAAGCGUGCGCAGGCGGUUUUGUAAGACAGUCGUGAAAUCCCCGGGCUCAACCUGGGAAUUGCGAUUGUGACUGCAAAGCUGGAGUGCGGCAGAGGGGGAUGGAAUUCCGCGUGUAGCAGUGAAAUGCGUAGAUAUGCGGAGGAACACCGAUGGCGAAGGCAAUCCCCUGGGCCUGCACUGACGCUCAUGCACGAAAGCGUGGGGAGCAAACAGGAUUAGAUACCCUGGUAGUCCACGCCCUAAACGAUGUCAACUGGUUGUUGGGUCUCUUCUGACUCAGUAACGAAGCUAACGCGUGAAGUGACCGCCUGGGA